RNAcentral lists this transfer RNA (66 nucleotides) under unidentified. RNAcentral describes it as "Paradorydium reflexana tRNA-Cys". The record is from RNAcentral.
GGUCUUGUAGUUUAUAAAAAAAACUUUAAAUUGCAAAUUUAAUAAAGAUUAAUAAAUCUAAGUCCU